GGAUGGCUCAGUCGGUAGAGCAUGAGACUCUUUAAUCCCAGGAUUGUGGGUUUGAGACCUACGUUGGGCA
RNAcentral lists this transfer RNA (70 nucleotides) under Podarcis lilfordi (Lilford's wall lizard). RNAcentral describes it as "tRNA.Undet". The record is from RNAcentral. Lineage: Eukaryota; Metazoa; Chordata; Lepidosauria; Squamata; Lacertidae.